UUGCAGCAAUCCUUGGGCGAUCAUAAACGACAUACCAAUGUGGAGCAAUCCUCAGGCGAUCAUAAAGAACGUACCAAUGUGGAGGAAUCCUCAGGCGAUC
Long non-coding RNA from Neltuma alba, 100 nucleotides. RefSeq lists it as uncharacterized. The record is from RefSeq and is a predicted model, not a curated record. NCBI's taxonomy places the organism in Eukaryota, Viridiplantae, Streptophyta, Magnoliopsida, Fabales, Fabaceae. The transcript is spliced from 3 exons.